GAGUCUCGUAGAGGGGGUAGAAUUCCAGGUGUAGCGGUGAAAUGCGUAGAGAUCUGGAGGAAUACCCGGUGGCGAAGGCGGCCCCUGGACGAAGACUGACGCUCAGGUGCGAAAGCGUGGGGAGCAAACAGGAUUAGAUACCUGGUAGUCCACGCCGUAAACGAUGUCGACUUGGAGGUUGUGCCCUUGAGGCGUGGCUUCCGGAGCUAACGCGUUAAGUCGACCGCCUGGGGAGUACGGCCGCAAGGUUAAAACUCAAAUGAAUUGACGGGGGCCCGCACAAGCGGUGGAGCAUGUGGUUUAAUUCGAUGCAACGCGAAGAACCUUACCUGGUCUUGACAUCCACAGAACUUUCCAGAGAUGGAUUGGUGCCUUCGGGAACUGUGAGACAGGUGCUGCAUGGCUGUCGUCAGCUCGUGUUGUGAAAUGUUGGGUUAAGUCCCGCAACGAGCGCAACCCUUAUCCUUUGUUGCCAGCGGUUAGGCCGGGAACUCAAAGGAGACUGCCAGUGAUAAACUGGAGGAAGGUGGGGAUGACGUCAAGUCAUCAUGGCCCUUACGACCAGGGCUACACACGUGCUACAAUGGCGCAUACAAAGAGAAGCAAACUCGCGAGAGCCAGCGGACCUCAUAAAGUGCGUCGUAGUCCGGAUUGGAGUCUGCAACUCGACUCCAUGAAGUCGGAAUCGCUAGUAAUCGUGAAUCAGAAUGUCACGGUGAAUACGUUCCCGGGCCUUGUACACACCGCCCGUCACACCAUGGGAGUGGGUUGCAAAAGAAGUAGGUAGCUUAACCUUCGGGAGGGCGCUUAC
Molecule: ribosomal RNA, 811 nt
Filed under: Atlantibacter hermannii
Lineage: Bacteria; Pseudomonadati; Pseudomonadota; Gammaproteobacteria; Enterobacterales; Enterobacteriaceae
Description: bacterial SSU rRNA
Rfam family: Bacterial small subunit ribosomal RNA
Source: RNAcentral